CCCGCACAACCGGUGGAGUAUGUGGUUUAAUUCGAUGCAACGCGAAGAACCUUACCUGGUCUUGACAUCCACGGAACUUUCCAGAGAUGGAUUGGUGCCUUCGGGAACCCGUGAGACAGGUGCUGCAUGGCUGUCGUAACGUGUCGUGAGAUGUUGGGUUAAGUCCCGCAACGAGCGCAACCCUUGUCCUUAGUUGCCAGCACGUAAUGGUGGGAACUCUAAGGAGACCGCCGGUGACAAACCGGAGGAAGGUGGGGAUGACGUCAAGUCAUCAUGGCCCUUACGACCAGGGCUACACACGUACUACAAUGGUAGGGACAGAGGGCUGCGGCCCGAAGGGUAAG
Molecule: ribosomal RNA, 344 nt
Filed under: Xanthomonas sp.
Lineage: Bacteria; Pseudomonadati; Pseudomonadota; Gammaproteobacteria; Lysobacterales; Lysobacteraceae
Description: bacterial SSU rRNA
Rfam family: Bacterial small subunit ribosomal RNA
Source: RNAcentral